CCACAUCCUUAGUUGCCAGCAGUUCGGCUGGGCACUCUAGGGAAACUGCCCGUGAUAAGCGGGAGGAAGGUGUGGAUGACGUCAAGUCCUCAUGGCCCUUACGGGUUGGGCUACACACGUGCUACAAUGGCAUCAACAAUGGGUUAAUCCCCAAAAGAUGUCUCAGUUCGGAUUGGGGUCUGCAACUCGACCCCAUGAAGUCGGAAUCGCUAGUAAUCGCGUAACAGCAUGACGCGGUGAAUACGUUCCCGGGCCUUGUACACACCGCCCGU
This 272-nucleotide ribosomal RNA is filed under the name uncultured bacterium. RNAcentral describes it as "partial 16S ribosomal RNA". It matches the Rfam family "Bacterial small subunit ribosomal RNA", at positions 1103 to 1397 of the family's 1533-position model. The record is from RNAcentral.